GGGCAUUGUAAAUGCCUGUGAGCUUCAGGUCAUAAUGCAUCAGGCCAGCCAGCCUUCAGUCAGGCCCAGUCUAGCCUCAGUUUCCACCCCCUUGAGAGGCACAAUGUAGGACAGUCGAGAAACACGCACAAAUAGGAUAGUAUAUGUUUCAUUUGUCCUGAAUGGAAGACAGAAGUCUUGUCUGAGGAACUCUGCGAGGGUUGAUCCACUCCAGUGCAAGAAGCAUGAUUCAGUCAGUCAGCAAUGGCAACAGUCCCAAUAGUUUCAGUGGAGGGGUUGUCUGUCAUUCCACAGUGUUACAGUACACCACCAACAACAGGCUAAUGAAGCCUUCAUGGGCAACAUAGCAUCCACAGUCAUACGUACUGUACAUCUUCAAAUUCAUGAUUCAUCAAUUCAUGUUCAAUUCAUUACUUGUUUGCAGACGGCCCAAAAGUUCAGGAGGACUCGUGGCCUAGGCACUAUGUUUACUUUGACACACAUAUAAUAUGUACACACACACACACAGAUACACACACAUACACACACACACACACAAGCAACAUAAGAUAUCAGUUAAAACAGCAGAUAUGAAACCUUAGUUCUUUGGUUACCCCUGACGACAUAUCACAGUGACUUGGAUAACCAAUCCGGAUAUCAGUGAGUUAUCAACACUAGUACAUUCUGGAUCCACACACCCCAGAUGACAACUCUGUCACCAUUACAGGAAGAUCUGGUGUUUCAACAGGAUCAGCUGCUGAGCUGAUUGAAUGAUACUAGCGUUAGAUAAACACGUGUGGGUCAUGUCUAUCCAUCUACACGCUCUCUAGCUAAAAUAACGCAGCAGGAAACUUGGAUGUGUGCGUUUGACUUUCAGUGAACAACGAUAUUGAAUGAUGAUAUGCCUUCAUAAAACGCAUGGGACAGAUAUGUUAAAGGGAAAGCAGAUGUUUAUACCCACAGACAGAACACAUGAUCGGAAGUCUAGUGGAACAGAGGGAGGGUGAGAAUGAGAGAAGAGCUGGUUUUCGGCCUCAGCUGUUGAGCGCUGACAGCUGCCCCUGGUCUAGUAGGAACUGUUCUGGAUCUGGCCCUGGUCUAGUAGGAACUGUUCUGGAUCUGGGCCUGGUCUAGUAGGAACUGUUCUGGAUCUGGCCCUGGUCUAGUAGGAACUGUUCUGGAUCUGGCCCUGGUCUAGUAGGAACUGUUCUG
Molecule: long non-coding RNA, 1191 nt
Filed under: Salmo salar (Atlantic salmon)
Lineage: Eukaryota; Metazoa; Chordata; Actinopteri; Salmoniformes; Salmonidae
Description: lncRNA (ENSSSAG00000100703.1)
Source: RNAcentral